RNAcentral lists this transfer RNA (57 nucleotides) under Ovis aries (sheep). It matches the Rfam family "tRNA", at positions 8 to 63 of the family's 71-position model. Rfam says of the family: Transfer RNA (tRNA) molecules are approximately 80 nucleotides in length. Their secondary structure includes four short double-helical elements and three loops (D, anti-codon, and T loops). The record is from Rfam by way of RNAcentral. Lineage: Eukaryota; Metazoa; Chordata; Mammalia; Artiodactyla; Bovidae.
UAGCUCAGUCGGUAAAGAGUCUGCCUGCAGUGCAGGAGACCCAGGUUCGAUCCCUGG